Homo sapiens (human) is the source of this 1323-nucleotide long non-coding RNA. Ensembl annotates it as long intergenic non-protein coding RNA 2456. NCBI's taxonomy places the organism in Eukaryota, Metazoa, Chordata, Mammalia, Primates, Hominidae. The record is from Ensembl.
GUUGGCCAUUCCAGUGGUCAUACUUCAACCACUCAUAGACUGCUGAGUGUUCAAACAAGGCAAACGCAGAGCUGUGACCAACCUCACUGUUUCUAUAAUGUCAGAAGCAGGAUCCAAAGUGGAGCUUCUAGUGACCCCCAGGAGUGCUGAGUAAACACGCAAGGUACCUGCAGGACCCACUUGUGUCCAUUGAUCUCUCAGAGCAGCUGGGCAUCGUGGGUAAAGACCUUCACAAUCGGGAACCCGUAGAUUGGAUCUUCUGAAAACAUCAGAGAAAGACUAUCUUUGCCAUCCACACUACAGUAAAACUUUGGAGCCUUGAACCUUGGAUUUAUAAUCUCACAACUGAGAAGGGUCCCUCCAUACUCCUGGAACUGUACACCCAUUGGAACUCUUAAGGAUGAUAUACAUGGCCAGGUGAAGACAGUAGAGAGAAAACAGAACUGAAAACAUUCUAUAACAAGUGAAGAGAUGAAGGAGAAAACUGGCUUGGGCCCAAUAUUCAGUAUGGUUGGAAACCACUUCAAGGAAGAGGUGCAAAUAUAUUCUAACUUAGAAGGAGGUAAGAAUCAGCAGAAAAGAAGGAAUCUUUGGAGAGCCAAAACCAUCUCUACACCAAAUUGAGAGACUGGAAUUAUAAGGUGAAUGCAAUUAACUGGCAGUCGCAUCCAUGUUGAGAACACAGUCAUCCCUUUAAUAGAGAACAUUUGCUGUGCUUGACAAACUCACAGUGAAAUGGUUGGAUCCAUAGGAAGCAACAUGCUGAAAAUGGUUUCAAUAUGAUCCUGUUUUUUCACUCAAUAGCCAUUGAUUGAGGGUGUCCAGCCAAAAACAAUGAGAAAAUGAGCCAACAAUAGUCUUACCCUUUGACCAUAUUAGAUAAAGUCGCAGCUGAAAUUUGUUAUAUGUUUCAGGAAUAACAAAGCAUCCAUAUGGAACAUAUAUUUGGCAGUGUGGCAGCUGAUGAAACCAGGAAAAUUAGACAAAUUAUCAAUUGCUCGCUCCCAAAUUACCCCAAAAAGAAAUUAGAUCCAUUUUCAGUAGCUUUGCCUUCAAAUUUCUUCAUUCCGUGAGUCACCACUACCUUCUGCCAAACUAAAUAUGUCUAUGAACGGCUGGAAACUUUAAUGGAAAGAAACAUAAAACUCAAACUACGUAGGAAAAUUUAAGCUUCUUCAUGGAAGAUCUUCGUGGAAGACUAGCAAGUUAGGAAUGUGUGAAGACAGACAACACAUCGAUAAUUCCUUUUGUUUGGGGUCACUUCUGAGUUAGAGAGCAAUGCAACAUGCUGGCUUGACUUCAAAUUAAAAUCAGCUUUUUCCU